Molecule: RNase P RNA, 385 nt
Filed under: human gut metagenome
Description: Bacterial RNase P class A
Rfam family: Bacterial RNase P class A
About the family: Ribonuclease P (RNase P) is a ubiquitous endoribonuclease, found in archaea, bacteria and eukarya as well as chloroplasts and mitochondria.
Source: RNAcentral
AGCAGGCUGGACAGUCGCGGGGACAAGGCGAAAGCCUGUUCAUGAGGAAAGUCCGGGCUCCACAGGGCAAGAAUAACGGGUAACGCCCGCCGAAGGCGACUUCAGGAAAAGUGCAACAGAGAUAUACCGCCCCGUCACAUCCCCAGCAAUGGGGCUCCGCAAAAACGCGGUUUUUGCGGGGAGACGGGGUAAGGGUGGAAAGGCGAGGUAAGAGCUCACCCGACGGCGCGUGAAAGUGACCGUCGCUGUAAACUCUAUUCGGAGCAACACCGGUAUGGGAGCGUAUAGGCUGGCCCGGCUGCUCCCGGGGUGGCUUGAGCGUGCCGGCAACGGUACGCCCAGAUAGAUGACUGUCAAAACAGAACCCGGCUUAUAGGCCUGCUCG